Molecule: long non-coding RNA, 4261 nt
Filed under: Populus tremula
Lineage: Eukaryota; Viridiplantae; Streptophyta; Magnoliopsida; Malpighiales; Salicaceae
Description: long non-coding RNA (PTRE_LNC001568)
Source: RNAcentral
AAUUAUCCUUUUGGCCUCUCUGUUUAGGUGAUAUGAUGCAGUACAAAGGUACUUGACACGUGACAUGAUGAAGUACAAAGGUACUUCACCCACAUCUUAACGAGGACUUGCAAUCUACAUGCAUAAUAAGCCAUAGCCAUAAUCCUUAUUUAAUCUUACAACAUGGCAUAAUAUUGGGACUCAUGCAUAAGAUCUUGUAUUCCCCCUUUUUUUUUAAGUUGAGUUUUAUGGUUUAAUUCAUAGAUGUUUCAAUUUUAUUACUCCUUUUUAAGAGCAUGUUUGUUUUUGAAUUUUUAUUUUAUUUUUUUCUUUGUUUUAUGUUUUUAAAUCAUUUUUAUAUUCUAAUAUCAAAAAUAAAUUUUAAAAAUAAAAACAAUAUUAUUUCAAUGUAUUUUUAUAUAGAAAUUAUUUUAAAAAUUUUUGUUGAAUGAUGGAACUUGUCGUGAGGUUAUGAUAGUAUAGGUCAAUCUCUACUUAAUUUACAAGCAAACCUCCUUUAUAAAAAUGAGCUUUUUUUUUAAUUAGAAAAUUUGACAAAAAUAAUUAGUAAACUAUAGCAUAACAAAGAAAAAACUAGGAAAAUAACACAGUUUAAAUUAUUGCGCCUCCUUUUAAAAAAUAAAAAAUUAAGAAGGUUGAGCUACAUCAUUAAAAUAAAAAAACUUAUUAAGACUAGUCCAUGUAUCUAUUAAAUGAGACUAUACCUACAAGUAAUUUUGAAAAAUUACCUAAAACCUUGACCUUUUCCUUUUGACAUUGAAAAAUUAUACUAUGCAUAUUUAGUUGAGAAAACCUACCUACAAUUGUUAUUAUAAUUGAUUUAAUAUUCAAAGUGCUCUUUAUAGUUUUUUAUUUAUUAAUCUUCUUCUCCCUCCUACCAUUGCUUUGGAUUCCAUAUCAAAGAUUCAAAAUCCAAGUAUUUCUCCUUUGCCCACCACUAAAUCAACAUGACUACUACCACUCCCUUCACCCACCAUGCACUCUCUAUCCCAAAAGACAAACAACCACUAGUCAGAAAAGAUUCUAGACAAUUCUUUCAAUUUGGCGAAUCUAGGGUUCUUCCAUACAGCACCCACUAACUAUGGAUUUGCUUUGUUCUUGAAAGAAUCUGGAUGCAAUAGCUCUUUAAGUUUGAGAUUUUUAGUUUAUGAUUUGGAUUUAUUUGGGGAAGGAUAAAGAUUGUGGGGGCUGACUUCGUGGGUGGUUUUAUUUUUAGAUUUUGCUUUAACGUAGUUUUGAUAUUAAUUAAUGUAGCUCUGACAUAGACAAAAACAAUAUAUAAAAAGUUUUGAUAUCAAAUAAAAACAACACAAGAAAACAAUAAUCAUAAAAAAAAGCUAAAAAGUUAAAAUUCUUUUGAAAUGAGUCUCCAUCACAAGAAUUCUAAUUCAACUUUUUAUUAUUCAAAUAUUUUUUAUAUAAUAGGAAAAAAACCUAAAAAAAUAAUAAAAAAGAUUUAAAUUAAAAAAAAAUAUAUCCUCAACAUUGUAAGGACUAGACAAUGACUUUCUAGGCCUAACUUAAGGGCUUAACAAUCUCAUAUGGCUAAAAAAUCAGAUCCUAAAUGGAGAGGGUCUCCCAUUUUCCUCGAAAUUUUUUAGCUUUUUGCAUAAAAAGUUAUAUCCUUUACACUAUGUUUAGCCAAAAUCUGCUGCAUAAUUUUUUAAAAUGUCGUUAUGCUGGUUGCCUUUAUGCUCCUCCAUGACUUAACUUUUGGGGUUUAGUUUUCAAUCACCAUUAAUGCCCACAAAACAACAUUCUUACACUAUAAAACUUCUAGUUGUUUCUAGUUAUUUCAAGAUCGUCUAAUCCCCCCCCUCCUUUUUUUAGGGAUUUUAAUAGGGUUUUUGUUCGGAAUUGAAAUUAACCAAUAUUUAACAAAAACAUUUCACACUAGCUGUGAAUUUUGACAUCUCAAUUUUUUAAGAAUAAUGUUUAAGAAUAAGGUUUCAUUAUACCUCCUCUGCAAAAGGAGGGGAGAGGGUUUGAACACAAAAAAUAGAGGUGAGAAAAUUUUGUUUGUUUGGUUCACUGGAAAAUCAAUUUGUAGGGAGAGAAAAAGAGUUGUGGGUGAUAUUAUAUAUAGAAGUAUUUUAGUCAAAGUGUAAUUUUUCAAAUGUAUUAGAAUGCGUUGUUUAAUUUACGUGCUUCUUCUUUCUCGUCUCUGCAAUUCUCUUUUCUUCCUUCUUUUCCUCAUUUCUUGCUAGAGCGACCUUUGUUAAUUUUCAUUUUAUUCCUGAAUUUUCAACUCUUUGGAAUCUAUCCUUGAAUUUUAGCUCAUUUUGGAGAUUCUUUACAUUUUGAUCCUCUUUUCCUCCAUUCUUUUUCUUCUUCUUCAAAUCUUUUACACCCCCCUCCAAAAUCCAGCUACACAACAUUUAACCGGCCCUAUACAACCUCGUUUCAUUUCUUGUCAAGCUUCAUUCUAUUUAGUAAAAAAUUCCAUCUACUCUUGUUGUAACAUCCAUUUAUGUUUAUAGUCAAUUUACUUGAAAUUUUUUAUUGAAUUUAUAGUUUGCAUGUAUAUUUAAAUAUUGUUUUAUAAUAAUAAUUUUAUUGUAUUAAUGCAUGAUUUAUAUUUUUAGGGUUUUUUUGAGAUUCGGAGGAAAUUGAUUUAAUUUGUUAUUUGAUAAAUUUUAGUAUAAUUUUAUAAUUUAAGUGUAUUAAAAUUAAAAAAAUAAUAAGUGAUUUAAUAGGUAUCAAUAAAUUUGUUGUGAUUGAAAAUUUGGGUUUUUUGGAUUUCUUUGGCUAUGUGAGGAUUCUUUGUAUAGCAAUUUAAAAUAAUUCAGAUGAUAAAUGUUAAUUUUUUUUUAAUAAUUAUUAGGCAAAUUGGUGCAAAGCUUCUUUUAGAUUAUUUCUAAUGAGUUUUAUGUUUGGUAAACACAAUAAGCGAUUCACUUCCUUUUACUUUGGCCAAUCUAGCGGGACCAAUUAACUUAACAAGGAAGCUUAAUUUCUCCCACAUGAUGAAGGUAUCAAUCACUUUGUGUCUUCUUUUUUAUUAUUGUUUUUUUUUUAAUAUAUAGGAACCAACUGAUUGAUAUGUGAAUUUUUUUUUGGUUUAAUUAGUUUCAAUAUUAAGUUUGAUUUGUAUUUGAAAUUCCUCAUCUUUUUUGCGUCUCUAUAUGUCAAUAGCAUUGUUGAAGCAUGUAAUUAUUCUUGAAAUCUUGAAUAGGUUAUUAAUUUUGGGAAUGAAUGAAAUUAAUAUGUAACCUUAUUUGUAGCAUAUUAGUGUUAAAUUUGUGUAUUCCAAUAUAAUUGGUUGUUGUUAGGAUUUUGAUAACGUGAUUAUUGUGGUUGGGGAUUAUAAGUUGAAUUUUUUUUUUUUUUGUAAUCAUACUAAAUGAUGAUGGAAUUGUUGACAGAAAAUUCUGUUUAUUUUUUAAUUUUCUGAUAGUGUAAACAAGAUUAAUAAAAGAUAUGGUGACUGGAGUUUGGAGAAAUAUUCCUAGGCAAGGAGGGUUGUGGUGCAUGUAACGGUUGCUUAGAAUGAGUGUAGGAUGAUAUUAACUAAGAUAGGGUCUUGUGUUUAAUUACUAGGUUGCUGGUGAGAUCCAAAUGCCAGCAAAACCAAUUUAUGUACUCUGUGGAAGGAAAAUAUUUGGUCAGGUAUCUGUGGGAAACAUCUUACAUGAUGAAAAAUGCGAGCUGUGCUAGUUCGUUUUCCCUAAACCAGUGAGGAAAGUCACUUAUUGAUCUCACAAUUUGUUAAAACCAAUGACCAGAGUGCCACAAGAAUUUCUUCAUGCCUUUUUUUUUUUCUCAAAUUUAUUCUUAAUUAAUAAUAUCCUGUUUACACUAUCAACAGUAUUUCUACGCUAAAAACAUGAAUCUUGUAGCUGAAAGUCAAACGAUGCUAAGGAAUCUAUAAAUGUUUCUGAGAGAUGGAGUCUUUCUGACCACACGAGAAGGGGAAUAGCUUCUAAGUUGAAAGUAUGAACAAAGAUGCAACAUGGAGGCUGAUCUCUCUAAGGACUGCACAAGGGCAAUUGUUUGAUCUGUCUGUGAUAUCUUUUUCCUGUAUGUCAUAAUAUAGCCUGGUGAACUCCAAGCAGUUUUAGGAAAUUUCACAGGAUAAGCCAUCACCACUAUCAAUUGUAGGGUCUACAACAGUCUCUCCAAGUAUACUGGGGAGACUACAUGCUCAAGUAGCUGACGAAAUUAGGCUUUAUUUCUUCUUUUAUUGUUUGUGGUGGGGAAUUGUAACUUGGGCAAACUCCUAAGCCUCAACCUUAAAUUUUUUCUUUUUUUUUUUUGAAAG